CGUAGGGGGCAAGCGUUGUCCGGAUUUACUGGGCGUAAAGAGCGUGUAGGCGGCAAACAGGUCCGUUGUGAAAACUGGAGGCUCAACCUCCAGACGUCGACGGAAACCGUGUGGCUAGAGUCCGGAAGAGGAGAGUGGAAUUCCUGGUGUAGCGGUGAAAUGCGCAGAUAUCAGGAAGAACACCAAUGGCGAAGGCAGCUCUCUGGGACGGUACUGACGCUGAGACGCGAAAGCGUGGGGAGCGAACAGGAUUAGAUACCCUGGUAGUCCACGCCGUAAACGAUGGGUGCUAGGUGUGGGAGGUGUCGACUCCUUCCGUGCCGUAGCUAACGCAUUAAGCACCCCGCCUGGGGAGUACGGCCGCAAGGCUA
RNAcentral lists this ribosomal RNA (371 nucleotides) under uncultured organism. RNAcentral's name for it is "bacterial SSU rRNA". It matches the Rfam family "Bacterial small subunit ribosomal RNA", at positions 526 to 896 of the family's 1533-position model. The record is from RNAcentral.